Molecule: long non-coding RNA, 1384 nt
Filed under: Mus musculus (house mouse)
Lineage: Eukaryota; Metazoa; Chordata; Mammalia; Rodentia; Muridae
Description: long non-coding RNA chr16:94413796-94415180
Source: RNAcentral
UUUUAUUAGUGUCUCGUCUAAUUACAAGAGUCCCUGUAGUAUUUCUUCCUUAAUUGAUCUCCCUCAGAAAGUUUAAUACCACAGGAAUGGCUGUUAAGUUUUUGAAACAUAGAAACCGAGGUUGUCUCACCUCUUACACGCUAGGGUUAUGGUUGUGAGCCACCUCACCAGGCUUUGAUUUGUCUUUUCUAUAUAAAAAGUACUGUUUGUUUUUCUCAUAUCAGAACAUUUAACUACUUUCGGCUCAGUUUAAGGAUGAUUUUACGUUGUCGAGAAAAGAUGUUUGUUCAUUUGGAGGGAUGUAGCAAAAAUUCCACAAACUGGGUAGUUUAUUUCUGUACAGGAAAAGCCCAGUGCCCUGGUUCUGGCAGAUUCAGUGUCUAAUGAAGCACUUUUCAUUGUUUUAGAUGGUUGUGUUCUUGUUGUGUGCUCACAUGGUAGAAGGUGGGAAGGCAUCUAUCCACCCGGAGGUAUGAUGUCACCUAUGGUCUAAUCAAUACCUGGAAGGGUCAGCCUUCCUACGCUCAGUUUUCAGCACUUUACUUUGCACAGAGCAGGGCAUUCGGAGCAUACGGGUACUUUCACUUUCAGAUGAAACUUGACUUGGUUCAAGUGUGUGCGUCAACUGUAUGUAUGUGCUCAUCUGCAGAUGAGAUGUGGGUGUGCAUGCUCUGUGUAUUCCUGGAUCGCCCUUUGUAUCAUAUUUUGACAAAAAUCUUCCUAAAUCAGAAUGUACACAUCUCUGCUUUUUACAACUGAAUCUGAGAACAUAGAGAAUUCAUGAUGACACAAGAGUCACUUACCUCAAGCUUUCGUGGUGUUCCUUUUAGGGUUCUUGACGCAGGAUUGUUGGCCUUGACAUUACUGACAUCCCAUCAUUCCCUUUUCUUUCCCUUGUUGGUUGAUUUUUCUUUUCAGUGGUUUGGCUGGCUUCUGUUAUCCAUUUGUCUUUCCUGCCUGCAGUUCUAUCUUCUCUUGGGCUCCAUUUCUAUAUAUCUACUCACUUAGUGCUAGCAGUUUCCAUAUGGUUAACAUGUUAAACACAGGCUUGGGAGUUCAAUACCUAUUGCAAUCUAACAGUAUGUGAAACCCCUUAAGGACAACACUUUAAAAGUUAUAAUAAGUUAUUAUUAUGUAGCAUGUGUAAAUAAUUUAAAUCUUGUCCAUCCAUCGGCAUUUAUAUUCAGAGAAAGAACUUUAGGCCGCAGAAUUACACUUUUAUAGCUUCGUCCAUGCCUGUACAGCAGAGAUCAAGUUCCCAGCACCCAUAACCAUUGGUAACUCCAUUCCCGGGAAUGUCAACAUCUUCUUCUGACAACCACUGGCACUAGGUCCACGUGUCGGCAAAACGCACAUAAAGAAGAAAGAAAGAAAUAUAAGCAUU